Molecule: ribosomal RNA, 497 nt
Filed under: uncultured bacterium
Lineage: Bacteria
Description: partial 16S ribosomal RNA
Rfam family: Bacterial small subunit ribosomal RNA
Source: RNAcentral
GAUGAACGCUGGCGGCGUGCCUAAUACAUGCAAGUCGAGCGAACGGACGAGAAGCUUGCUUCUCUGAUGUUAGCGGCGGACGGGUGAGUAACACGUGGAUAACCUACCUAUAAGACUGGGAUAACUUCGGGAAACCGGAGCUAAUACCGGAUAAUAUUUUGAACCGCAUGGUUCAAAAGUAAAAGACGGUCUUGCUGUCACUUAUAGAUGGAUCCGCGCUGCAUUAGCUAGUUGGUAAGGUAACGGCUUACCAAGGCAACGAUGCAUAGCCGACCUGAGAGGGUGAUCGGCCACACUGGAACUGAGCCACGGUCCAGACUCCUACGGGAGGCAGCAGUAGGGAAUCUUCCGCAAAGGGCGAAAGCCUGACGGAGCAACGCCGCGUGAGUGAUGAAGGUCUUCGGAUCGUAAAACUCUGUUAUUAGGGAAGAACAUAUGUGUAAGUAACUGUGCACAUCUUGACGGUACCUAAUCAGAAAGCCACGGCUAACUACGUG